Molecule: ribosomal RNA, 253 nt
Filed under: uncultured bacterium
Lineage: Bacteria
Description: partial 16S ribosomal RNA
Rfam family: Bacterial small subunit ribosomal RNA
Source: RNAcentral
GACAGAGGGUGCAAACGUUGUUCGGAAUUACUGGGCGUAAAGGGCUCGUAGGUGGCCAACUAAGUCAGACGUGAAAUCCCUCGGCUUAACCGGGGAACUGCGUCCGAUACUGGAUGGCUUGAGUUCGGGAGAGGGAUGCGGAAUUCCAGGUGUAGCGGUGAAAUGCGUAGAGAUCCGGAAGAACACCGGAGGCGAAGGCGGCUUGCUGGGCGUAGUCUGACGCUGAGGCGCGAAAGCGUGGGGAGCGAACAGG